CCCCGUUUCAUCUCUCAUCCCCUUUCAUCAGAGACCAAGUUUAAAGGCCUAAACUUCCCCCACACCCUAGAACCAUCUCACUCCCCUCAUCUCAAAUCCCCAUUCCGUUUGCUUCGAAUUCCCCUGGAACUUCUCGAAUUGAAAAUCGAAAGUGAACCCUAAUAAUCCCAAAUCAAGAUUCUGUUCUAAUUUGAUUUUAUUCAUGUGUGCUUUGUAAGAACACACGAUUAAUAUCAGAUAUGGCAAAAAAUUAGAGGAUUUGAAGACUCGGGAUAUGUUCUUCAUUGUCCGAGCUUUGGUACGUAUUUUUUUCUUUUUCUCUCUGGUUCAAUCUUUUCUUCAUUUUUCUUUUUCUAUUUUUCUUCUUCUUCUUUUUUUCCAGAUCACUCCUUAUUUUUCUAGGUUCUUCAGGGACGUUUUUAUAUGCAUGUUAGUCUUAAGUCAUUUUCUUUCUUUACUCAACGAAUUUAGUCUGUUUAAUUAGUUAGUUUGGAUUUGUUAAUUUAGUUAAUUAUUUAACACUCCAUUCAGUCUAGAUUUUUAAUUUGUUUGAAAUCCUUUAAGUGUUGUUUUCCUUUGCUUUCCAUGAGAUUACAAGAUGCCUUGGAUUAUUUUUUUGGGCUUUGGGUUUCCGACCCAUUUUCAAAAAGAAAGGCAGCCGUUCAUUUAGUCAAGGCAUUGGGUUGACUUGACCCAUACAUGUUUGGGUUCCGUGUAGUAAAAAAAGUAGGGGUAUGAGGAGUAUUCUAGGUAUUGGAAUAGGAAAUCUGGGUGUAACAGAUUAAGGAAGCUUCUAAGAAGCUGGGGUUGGGACUAAUGUGGGACUUUAUUUUUAAACUGAGAGUCUCUAAGCAAUAACAAAAACUGAAAAAGGUUGAAAAUACAAAUUUGAAUUCUUUUACGCUGCCAUGCCUAUAAAGGCACAUUUUCUUCUAGCUAAAUGAGAUUUUGAAGAGAGAAAUAUCCUGAUUUAGAAACGGCUGCUUUCUUUGAUUCAAUCCUGAAAUAACCUAGAAUUUCCUGUAGUUUCCUUGUGAAAACUAUCCAACAUUCGGCUUGGUUUUAGUUUACUGAUCCUUUUUGUUAGUUAAAAUCCUGAAAAGUUUCAACUUCUUGCAUCUGAUAGAAAAUUACUUGAGUUUGGGGUUUCAAAAUUUGCUUGAGUUGCUGGUUUCUUGUGAUGACCCGACCCGUCGCCAAGUGAGUUACUGCCCCAUUUUUUCUAUUUACUGCUUCUUUAUGCUUCAUUAUGAGUGUUUUGAGUGAACGAGUUGAUUUACAUUGAAUUGAGAAGGAAAUGGGACACUUAGUCUCUUUAAGGAAGGUUUGUUUGGAAAAGUCAACCGGACAUUGACUUAUGUGCUAGGAGGCUCGGAUGUGAAUUUUGAUGAUUUGGUUAGCUUCGGGGGAUAAUUUGUGACUUAGUAAUGUUAUCUGAUGUGAUUUUGGAGGUCCGGUGUAAAUUAGGCUUGAAUUGGCGAAGUUAGUAUUUUGGCGAAUUCCGGUUGGCAGGUGAGAUUUUUAUCCGAGGGUCAGAAUGGAAUUUCAAGAGUUUUGUAGCUUCGUUAGGUGAUUUGGGAUAUGUAUGAAAAAUUUUAGGUCAUUCGAAGGUGUUUUUCUUGGGUUUUUAAUCAAAUGCGUGUUUCGGAAGUUUUAGAAGAACAUAGGCUUGAAUCCGAUGUAAUUUGAUGGUUUUGGUUUUGUUUGUGGUGUUUUGAUGAUUGGAGGAAGUUUGAAUGAUGUUUUAGGAUGGGUUGGCUCUUUUGGUUGAGGUCCCCGGGGCCUCGGGUGAGUUUCCGAUGGCUAAACGGGAAGUUUUAAACUUGGAAAUGCAGCAGCAGUUGCAGGCCUCCCAAAUGCGAGAAAAGGGUUUGUAUUUGCGAAAAGGCUAGCCUGAGGUAGGGUUCACAUUUACGAUUGUUUGAUCGCAAUUGCGACCUUGGUAGGGUUUGCAUUUGCGAGAAAUGUGUCGCAUAUGCGACCUUGGAAGGGUCCGCAAUUGCGAGCCAGAUGUCGCAUUUGUGACCUUGGACGGAGAGGCUCACCUUCGCAAUUCAGAAGGUUUUGUCGCAUUUGCGAACCAGGUGUCGCAAAUGCGACAUCUGAGGGUUGUGUCCAGUUAUAAAAAAUCGAACUUAGCCAGUUUCCCUCACUUCCCACUUGGCUUUGGGCAAUUUGUGAGAGCUUUUGGACGGAUAUUGAAGAGGGUAUCUACUGGGAUUGAUUGGAGGUGAGUUCUAUGAACUAAAAACAUUAUUUAAUUGUAGAAUCAACCUAGAAAUUCAUGUAAUCUUAGCAAAAAUGGGGGAAGAACUAGGGCUUAUGUUUUGGUAUUGCAAAUUGGGAUUUGAGGGGUCAUUUGGACUCCGAUUUUGGUGUUCUUUAUAUGUAUAAACGCAUGGCGAGAUAAGGAACCGGUUUGUAUAAGUAUUUCUGAGUUUGAAGAAGUGAGCCCGGGGCUCGGGUUCAGCUAAUUUCAAGAUUUUUGCUAUUUUUUGAUUGCGUAUUGUUCCAUUGGCAUAUUGUGACGUAUUCUUUCUGGCUUUAUCGAAUUCAACAUGUGAGGAGGUCGACUUGAAAGGCAAAGGCAUAGCGAGCUAGGAUUUUGGCCAGCUUGAGAUGAGUAAUAGAUGUAAAUGAUGUCUUGAGCGUUUGAAAUCCCGUAUUUGCGCAUCGUUGUGUUAUAAUGAGAUGACUUGCACGCCAGGUAGUGACCGUGGGUUAGAGCACCGUUGGGGAUUGUGACUUGGUCCAUCCCGAUAAAUGAAUAUACUUUGUAUUUAACUGAAAUUCCUUAUUAUUAUUAUUAUGAUUUGAGAUGAUUCCUAUGUUUGAGCUUUGUGCCAAUUGAUUGAAUCCUCCAGGGAUUGCUACUACCGGUUUCUUACCUUUUUUAAGUAUUAUUGAACUUAGUCCUGGCAUUUAAUACUACUUUUCAAACUCAGCCAUUUUUUCUCAAACUUGAAACUUAAAUAAUGUUUCUAUGAAGUUUGGGCUGAAUAUUUAUAUAUCGUUGUGCCCGAGGGGCUUAUGUGAUUCUGGACUGAGCAUGGGAUCGGGCUGCGCGCCGCAGCAGUACUAUAUUGAUAUUGAUAUGAGACCGAAGGCCUAGUUGAUACUACGAGAUUGCUUAUAUUGCACUUGGGCCGUAAGGGGCCCCUCCCGGAGUUUGCACACCUCAGUCAGCGCCGUCGAUGAUAAACAAAAGGGAGCGCGCUGCACGCUGCAGCAGGUACUAGAGAGUACCGGACUAUGUGUUGCAUUUCAUUUUUGCAUGUCAUUUACUUACUAUUUGUUGUAGCAUUUCCAUGAUUGUUGUUAUUAGUUUACUGAUUGACUUCUAUCUGGUUCAGGUUGCUGUAUUUAUAGAAUUACUUUGUGCCUAUUCGGGAUUUCUUAUUCUCAGCAUUUAUUUAUGUUUAUUAUUAACUGGGUCGGAGUACUCACAUUACUCCCUGCACCUUGCGUGCAGAUCCAUGUACAUCUGAGGUUGAGUUAGGAUUUCUCUACCGAGCAGUUUAUUCGGGAGCAUCAAGGUAGCUGUAUGACGUCUGUAGUCCUGAUCUUCCUUCUACCUUAUUUGCUUUAUUGUCGCAUUUCUAUAGAACGAUAUGUAGUAGAUUGAUACUCGGGUAUUAGAGGCUCAGACUUAUGACACCGGAUUCUUCGGGCUGUGUAGUUUACUCGAGAUUCUGCAUGUUUUAGUUCUUAUUUCAGACUUUCAAUAUUAUGAUUUAGUAAAUUAUCUGUGUUAAUUAACUCCUGAUUGGUAUAAAAUGGUUAAGGUUAUUGAAUUGGUCGGGCUUUCCUAGAAGUGUGGUGGGAGCCAUCACGACAGGGGUUGGGGCCGUGACAAGUUGGUAUUAGGGCCUAGGUUACUUGGUCUCGCGAGUCAUGAGCCGGUUUAGUAGAGUCUUGCGGAUCGAUGCGGAAACGUCUGUACUUAUCCUCGGGAGGCUGCAGAACCUUUAGGUAAACUUCACAUUCUUGAAAUUCUUGUCGUGCGGCUUUGUUGAACUGAGAAAUAAACUUCUAAUAAUAGUGGUGAGUACACGAACCACCGGACAUGGUGGACGACCACCUACUGAGGCCACCAGAGUCCAUGGACGCGGUCGUGGUCAUGGCAGAGGCGGAGCAGCCGGGGUAGCACCUGCUGAUCCACCAAUUGCCCCAGAUCAGGAUGAGGCUCUAGCUGCAGACACACCAGCAGCACCUGUUCAGACACUAGCUAUGCCUAUCAUGAUUCUGGGUCUUCAGGAGACCUUGGCACAUAUAUUAUCAGUCUACACUAGCCUGGCUCAGGCAGUUUUAGUUACCACGGCAGCAGCAGCUACUUCACAGGCCGGGGGAGGCAAUUAGACCCCCGUUGCUCGCACACCUGAGCAGGUGGUGCAGGGACUGAGCUACCGGACGUGGCGGACGAGCACCAGUACAACCUACUGAGGCCGCUAGAGGCCUUGGACGCAGUUAUGGUCGUGGCAGAGGCGGAGCAGCCGAGGCAGCACCUGUUGAGCCACCAGUUGCCCCAGCUCAGGAUCAAGCUCCAGCUAUAGACACACCAGCAGCACCUAUUCAGGCACAAGCUGUGCCUAUCGUGAUUCCGGGUCUUCAAGAUACCUUGGCACAUAUAUUAUCAGUCUGCACUGUUCUGGCUCACGCAGUUUCAGUUACCACAACAACAACAGCUACUUCACAGGAGGGGGGAGGCAAUCAUACCCCCGCUACUUGCAUACCUGAGCAGGUGGUGCAGGGACUACAAACACCAGAGGCACCUCCAGCUCAGCAGGUUGCACAAGUUCAGGGCUUUGUGGUUCCAGCCAUGCCAGAAGAUUAGCAGCGUCAUCUCGAGAGGUUCGGUGGGAUCUAGCCUCCGACAUUUAGUGGUGCUGAGGGCGAGAAUGCCCAGGGUUUUCUUGACAUGUGUACCGGUGUACCGGUCAUGUGUAACUGAAAUUCCUUAUUAUUAUUAUUAUUAUGAUUUGAGCUGGUUGUUAUGCUUGAGCUUUGUGCCAAUUGAUUGAAUCCUUCAGGGAUUGCUACUAGUGGUUUCUUACUAUUUUUACGUAUUAUUGAACUUAGUCCUGGCAUUUAAUACUAUUUUUCAAACUCAGCCAUCUUUACUCAAACUUGAAACUUAAAUAAUAUUUCUAAUGAAGUUUGUGCUGAAUAUUUAUAUAGUGUUGUGCCCGAGGGUCUUAUGUGAUUAUGGACUGAGCAUGGGAUCAGGCUGCGCGCCGCAACAGCACUAUAUUGAUAUUGAUAUGAGGCCGAGGGCCUAGUUGAUGUCAUGAGAUGGUUUAUAUUGCACUUGGGCCGUAAAGGGCCCUUCUCGGGGUCUGCACACCCCCAGUGAGCGUCGUCGACGAUAAAUAAAGGGAGCGGGCUGUACACCGUAGCGGGUACUAGAGAGUACCAAACUAUGUGUUGCAUUUCAUAUUUGCAUGUCAUGUACUUACUAUCUGUUGUAGCAUUUCCAUAAUUGUUUUUAUUGGUUUAUUGAUGGAAUACUAUCUGGUUCAGGUUGCUAUAUUUAUAGAAUAACUUUGUGACUAUUCAGGAUUUCUUAUUCUCAGCUUUUACUUAUGUUUAUUACUCACUGGUUCGGAGUACUCACAUUAAUCCUUGCACCUUGCAUGCAGAUCUAGGUAUAUCUGAGGCUGAGUGAGGAUUUCCCUACCGAGUAGUAUAUUCAGUCCUCUUCUACCUUAUUUGCUUUAUUUUCGCAUUUCUCUAUAAUGAUAUGUGGUAGCUUGAUGCUCAGGUAUUAGAGGCUCAGACUUGUGACACCAGAUUCUUUGGGCUGUGUAGUUAUUUUUAUUACUUGGGAUUCCAUAUGUUUUAGUUCUUAUUUUAGACUUUCAAUAUUAUGAUUUAGUAAAUUAUCUGUGUUAAUUAACUCCUGAAUGAUAUAAAAUGGUUAAGGUUACUGACUUGGUCAGGCUUGCCUAGCAGUGUGUUUAGUGCCAUCACGACUGGGGUUGGGGUCGUGACAUUUCUACACUGCUGGGUUGUUGUUUUUCUGUUGCUGCUUCUCUCCUGAUCUUAAGUUUUGUUUCUGUAUUUGUUUGCUAUCUUCAAGUAUUCCUCACCUCCUUGGCAUGCGGAAUGGAAGAACAAGAGUUUAUUGGAUUAAAUGGCAAAUUGUGUCAUAUUAGCUUGUAAAUGUAGUGUCUUAUGUUUCUGGAAAUCAAUCAGAUUUUAUAAUUAGAUUAGUUUCCUUGUUACAUCUAUUUCUUUCUGUUUCAUUUUGAGUUUGGUUUGUAACUUUGGAUGGAUUGUGAGCUUUAGCCAAUUAGUACAGAUGAGUUUGAGUUCUGUUUUCGUAUAAAUGAACUUUCAAAGGCUUUUGUAAAAACUCAUUUGAUUUUUGUAGGUUUGGGGUAUUUGUUUAGUUUCUGCUAGGAUUGGUACUAUUUUAACAUUGAUUUAUAUCUAAAUGUGUUAAAAAUGCUAAGUGAUGGUUUGCUUGCUUAUAGCUAGAAACAUGAUCCCACCAUUCUAUGUUUUGGUGUUUAGCUUGCCUUUGUUUGAAAAUGUUUUUUUUUUCAAAUAGACUCUGAACUUGAAAUUGGAGCUAAAGAUUUUCAAAUCUAGUUUAAAUUCUUACAUUUGGUUUCCGUUAGAAAGUUUGGGUUGUAUAGCGUUGUUUAAAUGUGUUACACUGACAUCGGAAUUUAGCAUAAAUAUAGAUCUCUGAAUGUAAAAGGAGAAGCAAUUUGUAUAAAUGUUUGAUUAUCACUUUGGGAACUCUAAUCUCAGUAUAUAAUGUGUGCAGAGUUCAGAAGUUUUUUUUGUAUGUGAAUAAAGAUAUUUGUACUCAUCCGAAUUCAAAUAUUGACAUGGGACUUGUGCGGUCUUUCCAAAUGUUGUAUUCUGGAGUACAAAAUCGAUUUGUCAGCUCCAGCCCAACAAAGCCGAAGUUUCCAUUCGCCUAUUUUCAUGUUCGACUUGGGCUCCC
Molecule: long non-coding RNA, 6958 nt
Filed under: Nicotiana benthamiana
Lineage: Eukaryota; Viridiplantae; Streptophyta; Magnoliopsida; Solanales; Solanaceae
Description: long non-coding RNA (NBEN_LNC029896)
Source: RNAcentral